This 306-nucleotide ribosomal RNA is filed under the name uncultured bacterium. RNAcentral's name for it is "bacterial SSU rRNA". It matches the Rfam family "Bacterial small subunit ribosomal RNA", at positions 30 to 334 of the family's 1533-position model. The record is from RNAcentral.
AUUGAACGCUGGCGGCAUGCUUUACACAUGCAAGUCGAACGGCAGCACGGGUGCUUGCACCUGGUGGCGAGUGGCGGACGGGUGAGUAAUGCAUCGGAACGUGUCCUUAAGUGGGGGAUAACGCAUCGAAAGAUGUGCUAAUACCGCAUAAUCUCUGAGGAGAAAAGCAGGGGAUCUUAGGACCUUGUGCUUUUGGAGCGGCCGAUGCCUGAUUAGCUAGUUGGUAGGGUAAAGGCCUACCAAGGCUUCGAUCAGUAGUUGGUCUGAGAGGACGACCAGCCACACUGGGACUGAGACACGGCCCAG